This 435-nucleotide ribosomal RNA is filed under the name uncultured bacterium. RNAcentral describes it as "partial 16S ribosomal RNA". It matches the Rfam family "Bacterial small subunit ribosomal RNA", at positions 28 to 507 of the family's 1533-position model. The record is from RNAcentral.
GAUGAACGCUGGCGGUAUGCUUAACACAUGCAAGUCGAACGGACUCUUCGGAGUUAUUGGCGGACGGCUGUGGAACGCGUGAGAAUCUGACUUUGGGUUCGGGACAACUACUGGAAACGGUGGCUAAUACCAGAUGUGCCCAAAGGUAAAAGAGAAUUUGCCUGAAGAUGAGCUCGCGUAUGAUUAGCUAUUUGGUGAGGUAAAGGCUCACCAAGGCAGCGAUAAGUAGCAUGUCUGAGAGGAUGACCAGCCAAACUGGGACUGAGACACGGCCCAGACGCAUCCGGGGGGAAGGAGUGGGGAAUGAUCCGGAAUGGGCGAGAGACUGACGGAGCACUACCGCGUGAGGGAAGAAGGUUCUUGGGUUGUACAACUGUUUUCUUAGGGAAGCACAAAAUGACGGUACCUAAUGAAUAAGCAUCGGCUAACUACGUG